UUUUGUUUNAUAUUUAAAGUCUGACCUGCUCAAUGAUAAUUUAAAUAGCCGCAGUAUUUUGACUGUGCAAAGGUAGCAUAAUCAUUAGUUUUUUAAUUGAAAACUUGUAUGAAUGGUUGAAUGAGAAAUAAUCUGUCUCUAGUUAAUUUUAAUUAGAAUUUUAUUUUUAAGUUAAAAAGCUUAAAUUUUUAUUAAAGACGAGAAGACCCUAUAGAGUUUGAUUUAUUUAAAUAUUUUAUUAUUUUAGUAUUUAUAUUUUUUUAUUUAAAUGAAUUUGGUUGGGGUGAUGGAAAAAAUUAAUAAACUUUUUUUUUUGUUUAAACAUAAAUUAAUGAUUUUUUGAUCCAAUUUUAUUGAUUAAAAGAUUAAAUUACCUUAGGGAUAACAGCGUAAUUUUUUUUGAGAGUUCUUAUCGAAAAAAAAGUUUGCGACCUCGAUGUUGGAUUAAAAUUUAAAGUUGGUGAAGAAGUUAACUUUUUAAGUCUGUUCGACUUUUGAAAUUUUACGUGAUCU
RNAcentral lists this ribosomal RNA (513 nucleotides) under Ophthalmocyclus sp. FUSE. Its description in RNAcentral is "partial 16S ribosomal RNA". The stretch from base 381 to 513 matches the Rfam family "Bacterial large subunit ribosomal RNA", at positions 2473 to 2606 of the family's 2925-position model. Lineage: Eukaryota; Metazoa; Arthropoda; Insecta; Coleoptera; Hydrophilidae. The record is from RNAcentral.